RNAcentral lists this ribosomal RNA (155 nucleotides) under Origanum majorana. Its description in RNAcentral is "5.8S ribosomal RNA". It matches the Rfam family "5.8S ribosomal RNA". From Rfam's summary of the family: 5.8S ribosomal RNA (5.8S rRNA) is a component of the large subunit of the eukaryotic ribosome. It is transcribed by RNA polymerase I as part of the 45S precursor that also contains 18S and 28S rRNA. Lineage: Eukaryota; Viridiplantae; Streptophyta; Magnoliopsida; Lamiales; Lamiaceae. The record is from RNAcentral.
CUCGGCAACGGAUAUCUCGGCUCUCGCAUCGAUGAAGAACGUAGCGAAAUGCGAUACUUGGUGUGAAUUGCAGAAUCCCGUGAACCUUCGAGUCUUUGAACGCAAGUUGCGCCCGAAGCCAUUAGGCUGAGGGCACGUCUGCCUGGGCGUCACGC